ACUGUUACAUUAUUAUUAUUUUUUGAGUAGGAGUCUUACUCUGUUGCCCAGGCUAGAGUGCAGUGGCACAAU
This 72-nucleotide small nucleolar RNA is filed under the name Carlito syrichta (Philippine tarsier). RNAcentral's name for it is "Small nucleolar RNA Me28S-Am2634 (ENSTSYG00000024290.2)". Lineage: Eukaryota; Metazoa; Chordata; Mammalia; Primates; Tarsiidae. The record is from RNAcentral.